GCUCGUCUGGGGUGUGCGUUGUUGGUUACGUCCCUGAGCCGAUAAUUAAACACUUUGAGUUGGGCAUUAAACUGCUGGUGAGCAGGCUCAGCUACUUCGGUAGAUUGAGAAGCCUAAAAGCGGUUACGUUCGACUCGCCUUGAACCGUCUGGUUCAAGGACCAUCACUGAUGACGGCACUUCGGACACCCU
Molecule: non-coding RNA, 191 nt
Filed under: Targowskia paracuniculus
Lineage: Bacteria; Pseudomonadati; Pseudomonadota; Gammaproteobacteria; Pasteurellales; Pasteurellaceae
Description: Haemophilus paracuniculus 6S / SsrS RNA
Rfam family: 6S / SsrS RNA
About the family: E. coli 6S RNA was the first non coding RNA to be sequenced, but its function was unknown until recently. It consists of 184 nucleotides that fold into an extended hairpin structure with a large single-stranded internal bulge. The 6S RNA specifically associates with RNA polymerase holoenzyme containing the sigma70 specificity factor.
Source: Rfam by way of RNAcentral